UCUUGCAUAUUGUCUCGUUGAUUAUGAAUGUAACGUUUAUAUAGUGGAACUACACUGUUUUAUCAAAACCAAAGUGCCACGCAGUAACUUGGUAGGCCCAUGCAUGUAUUUCAGCAGGAAAUGUGCAACCUAGAUUACAUUUACCAACACAGACUAUAUAGAAAUAUUUGUAAAAGUUGUUCAUGCGUUAUUAAGUGAAUAUGGCAUUAACCCUCCUGUUGUCUUUGGGUCGGUUUUCAUGUAUUUUUUAAUAAAGGUUUCCUUUAGGUGAUCCAGACAGGCAGUGGGUGCUGAACAUCCGGAGGAAUAAAUGGACCCCCAACGUUUCUUCUCGCCUGUGCAGUGAACACUUUGAGAGUCAUCACUUCAGCACGGACUCAUGGGGAAGGAGAUCCCUGAAAAACAUUUCAGUGCCCACCAUUUUCUAUUUCACCAAUGGCAAAGAACAACAGCCUAGAAGGAAAAGCAGGGACGCUUGAGGGAAGUUGCAACGCCUCGGCCAAUGUUCUCCACGUGAAAGAGAUUGAAGGCAUAAUUUAUAACUUGAGACCAUUUUCCAAAAGUUAUGACUUUUAUUGGCUUAGGUAGUAAUGGAUUACAUCUAACACGAAUCAAGAUCGUAUAAAAAAAAAGGAAAAUGUAAUCCUUAGUUACAUAGGAAAAGAUGUAAUCGGAUUAGUUUUACUUUUUUUAAUAAUAGGGAAACUCAGGAUUACAAUCUCAUUCAAAACCUAAAAAGAGCAUAUAGUGUUUGUUGUAAAAUAAUCAAAUUGUAUCUCUUCUCUGGAAGCGGUACUGUUCUGUAGGCUAAUACUUUAAUUGUGAAUCUAUACACCUACUGCCUGAAUCUGCUUUAUGGUAUUAUAUUAUACAUUUAAGUAAAAAAAUCAUAUUAAUAUUUCUUCUCUCCUGUGUUUAUUUGCAUUGCAUUUGAUAUUGAGGUAAUCCAAAAGAAAAAUAAAGUGAUCACGUUACAUUACUUUUAUAUCUUGAUACUCACAUUUAAGUUACUGGUUGUGUUUUUGGCAAGUAGCCCUCCCAACCCUGAACAUAAGUUAUAUCAUUUUAAUUACUGAUACAGUUGUUGCACAUCUUUAAUUUAUUUUCUAGUGUAUUUAAGUCAUAAAAUGAUUCGAAACCUUUAAUUUUCAUAAAAUGCAAGAUGUAACUUUCAAUGUGGCUUGUUAUCACAUUUUCAAUGUGAAAUAGAUCUGAUUUAAAUAAAGAGUAAAAGCACAAUCUUAAAUGUUGACAUUUAUCAUUUGCCUAUGCUUAUUGUUAAUGUAGUGGUGUUAUAAACAAAAUGUUGUCGUAAAGGAAAUUAAGAUGUUUUGUAUUUGUUGACAAAAGAUUUAAAGUUGAUGCUCACAACAUGUGGGAACAUUUAUGGAGAAAAAUGUUUCUAUUGUAAAACAAAUAUUUAUCUGCAUACUGAACAAUUUCGAAACUCUCUAAAAGGUAUUAUCUUCUGUGAUGUUACGACCCUGUUGGGAUUGUGGGUAUUGCACUUCAUAAUUACAUUCUAUGGUAUGCUUAUGACAUAUUUGAUGCCAAAAUACAUGGGAUUAGGGGAGACCUUCUUGUUGUUUGCAUUGUCACUGAUAAAUGACAGCGUAGUAUUCAUUGUCAAGAUUUUGUGUUUUUAAACUUGGGACUCUUUUCAGACUGCUACGGCUUGGGAAAAGAUUUGAGCCUUAAUGUGUAAUGUGUUCUGUAUUGUAUGGUAAGCUUAUCCUUUCAUUUGAUAGUCCCAUUUGGAUGUGAUAGCUAACAUUUUCAGUAAGCAGUAGACAAAAUAAGUGAAAAUAUGAAUGUAAUUUAUUUUCAAUAUUUACAUAAAUACAGAAUUAUUUUAACAAAUAAAAUAACAAAAAACAUCAUAACAAAUACAAAAUAAAAGGUUUGACAGACAGCCAUGCCCAGCAUGGGCCUGGAGAGCUACA
Molecule: long non-coding RNA, 1943 nt
Organism: Gymnodraco acuticeps
Lineage: Eukaryota; Metazoa; Chordata; Actinopteri; Perciformes; Bathydraconidae
Exons: 3
Source: RefSeq, a predicted model, not a curated record